AUUUAUAUCUGCUCCUUCCUCAUCACAUUAUGUGGGAAGCACAGAGUGCUCUUGGAUCCUCUGACUGUCUCUGAAGGCACGGCAGAGAUUAUUGUAAAGUAUCCGUCAAUAACAUUGUCGCUGAACUGCCAAGAGGAGUUUCUUGGGAUUUAUGAAGAGACUCAGAGAGGAAGAAAAGUUCCAGGACAAAACCUAUCACUGCUCCAAAAAUUCCCGAGGAGAUGAUCUUGACAUAGAUGUCAUCCUUCCAGACUGGGAAGGAAUCCUGCAGUCACUGGGACACCCCUGUGAGACCCAAAUGCCACCAGCUGCCACAGGAGACUUGUAGCCCUAUUAAAAUCCAUUAUUCUCCCUGAAGUCGUGAACUUUCUGGACUGAAAGAAACCUGUCUAAUUGUCAUGGCAAAGUGAUGGUGUGCGAAGGAUUUGGGCUAACCAAAGAGUUACUAGGACAUUGUGCGGAAAGGGAAGCUGUACAAGUGUCCUCUAAACAUAGAAGAAAAAGCAUAGACUGGAAAUUUAAGUUGUUAAAACAUUUAUGAAUACAAGGUUCUUCAGUGCCAGCUCUCAG
Molecule: long non-coding RNA, 570 nt
Organism: Hirundo rustica (Barn swallow)
Lineage: Eukaryota; Metazoa; Chordata; Aves; Passeriformes; Hirundinidae
Exons: 4
Source: RefSeq, a predicted model, not a curated record